UACGGAGGGGGUUAGCGUUGUUCGGAAUUACUGGGCGUAAAGCGCAUGCAGGCGGUUUGUUAAGCGAGAUGUGAAAGCCCCGGGCUCAACCUGGGAACUGCAUUUCGAACUGGCAAACUAGAGUUCGAGAGAGGUGAGUGGAAUUCCGAGUGUAGAGGUGAAAUUCGUAGAUAUUCGGAGGAACACCAGUGGCGAAGGCGAUUUUCUGGACUGAUAUUGACGCUGAGAUGCGAAGGCAUGGGUAGCAAACGGG
This 253-nucleotide ribosomal RNA is filed under the name uncultured bacterium. RNAcentral describes it as "partial 16S ribosomal RNA". It matches the Rfam family "Bacterial small subunit ribosomal RNA", at positions 524 to 776 of the family's 1533-position model. The record is from RNAcentral.